AGUGAACGCUGGUGGUAGGCCUAACACAUGCAUGUCGAACGGCAGCACAGGAGAGCUUGCUCUCUGGGUGGCGAGUGGCGGACGGGUGAGGAAUACAUCGGAAUCUACUCUGUCGUGGGGGAUAACGUAGGGAAACUUACGCUAAUACCGCAUACGACCUACGGGUGAAAGCAGGGGACCUUCGGGCCUUGCGCGAUUGAAUGAGCCGAUGUCGGAUUAGCUAGCUGGCGGGGUAAAGGCCCACCAAGGCGACGAUCCGUAGCUGGUCUGAGAGGAUGAUCAGCCACACUGGAACUGAGACACGGUCCAGACUCCUACGGGAGGCAGCAGUGGGGAAUAUUGGACAAUGGGCGCAAGCCUGAUCCAGCCAUACCGCGUGGGUGAAGAAGGCCUUCGGGUUGUAAAGCCCUUUUGUUGGGAAAGAAAUCCAGCUGGCUAAUACCCGGUUGGGAUGACGGUACCCAAAGAAUAAGCACCGGCUAACUUCGUGCCAGCAGCCGCCGUAA
This 506-nucleotide ribosomal RNA is filed under the name uncultured bacterium. Its description in RNAcentral is "partial 16S ribosomal RNA". It matches the Rfam family "Bacterial small subunit ribosomal RNA", at positions 29 to 523 of the family's 1533-position model. The record is from RNAcentral.